AAGUCGUAACAAGGUUUCCGUAGGUGAACCUGCGGAAGGAUCAUUACCACACCAAAAAAACUUUCCACGUGAACCGUUCUGUCCGUUUUGUGCCGUUGCUGUUGUCGUCAUUCGACGAGAAGAGCAGUGGCUAAACGAAGGCUGUGGGCUUCGUGCUUGCGGUCGAUUUAUUCUUUCAAACCCCAUACGUUAAGAACUGAAGUAUACUGUGAGGACGAAAGUCCUUGCUUUGAACUAGAUAGCAACUUUCAGCAGUGGAUGUCUAGGCUC
This 270-nucleotide unclassified non-coding RNA is filed under the name fungal sp. Its description in RNAcentral is "partial internal transcribed spacer region". The stretch from base 1 to 46 matches the Rfam family "Eukaryotic small subunit ribosomal RNA", at positions 1786 to 1831 of the family's 1831-position model. Lineage: Eukaryota; Fungi. The record is from RNAcentral.